Fundulus heteroclitus (mummichog) is the source of this 466-nucleotide long non-coding RNA. RefSeq lists it as uncharacterized. NCBI's taxonomy places the organism in Eukaryota, Metazoa, Chordata, Actinopteri, Cyprinodontiformes, Fundulidae. The transcript is spliced from 3 exons. The record is from RefSeq and is a predicted model, not a curated record.
GGGGCAGUGAACACGAGACAGGGGAACGUUUAUAAUGUUCACAUUUUAAUAAUUUCACAACUAAAUUAGUAUCUUGAAAAUCACCCAAGCUAACUAAACAAAUACGAAAAUUGUCUGAAACAGAACUAAACCUUGGAUCGUCCAGGAUCAUCCAGUAGUCUCGCUAACAAAACAGUUCAAUUUCUACCGGAAGUGGAUUCCGACACCACGCUUAGCCGGAAGUUAACAGACGCCAUCUUGUUGGAAGGAAGUUGUUUUUAUCCUUGGAGAGGAGACGGUAUCUUUUGGACGACAUACAGUUCUCUUUUGCUGUAAUUUGAGAAUGCCACGGAGAGGGCGUCGGUCGGAGUCAGCCAAGAAGAGAUGGAGGAGGACGAACUCUGAGCCGGACAUCGCCAAGCCCAGGACACCCCCACCCACCCCUCAGGCUUGGUCCCCCACUCAAUCUCCAGAGAGAAAGGUAUGA